RNAcentral lists this ribosomal RNA (253 nucleotides) under uncultured bacterium. Its description in RNAcentral is "partial 16S ribosomal RNA". It matches the Rfam family "Bacterial small subunit ribosomal RNA", at positions 524 to 776 of the family's 1533-position model. The record is from RNAcentral.
UACGUAGGGUGCAGGCGUUAAUCGGAAUUACUGGGCGUAAAGCGUGCGCAGGCGGUUUUGUAAGUCUGACGUGAAAUCCCCGGGCUCAACCUGGGAAUUGCGUUGGAGACUGCAAGGCUGGAGUCUGGCAGAGGGGGGUAGAAUUCCACGUGUAGCAGUGAAAUGCGUAGAGAUGUGGAGGAACACCGAUGGCGAAGGCAGCCCCCUGGGUCAAGACUGACGCUCAUGCACGAAAGCGUGGGGAGCAAACAGG